RNAcentral lists this ribosomal RNA (478 nucleotides) under uncultured Desulfobulbus sp. RNAcentral's name for it is "bacterial SSU rRNA". It matches the Rfam family "Bacterial small subunit ribosomal RNA", at positions 916 to 1381 of the family's 1533-position model. The record is from RNAcentral. Lineage: Bacteria; Pseudomonadati; Thermodesulfobacteriota; Desulfobulbia; Desulfobulbales; Desulfobulbaceae.
GACGGGGCCCGCACAAGCGGUGGAGCUACGUGGUUUAAUCGAUGCAAACCGAAGAACCUUACCUGGGUUUGACAUGUACGUGGUACGGAUAUGAAAGUUGAAGGACUCCGCUUUCGGGUGGAGAGCGUACACAGGUGCUGCAUGGCUGUCGUCAGCUCGUGUCGUGAGAUGUUGGGUUAAGUCCCGCAACGAGCGCAACCCUUGCCUUUAGUUGCCAGCAGUUCGGCUGGGCACUCUAAAGGGACUGCCGGUGUUAAACCGGAGGAAGGUGGGGAUGACGUCAAGUCCUCAUGGCCUUUAUGACCAGGGCUACACACGUACUACAAUGGCCGAUACAAAGGGCAGCGACACUGCGAGGUGAAGCCAAUCCCGUAAAAUCGGUCUCAGUCCGGAUUGGAGUCUGCAACUCGACUCCAUGAAGUUGGAAUCGCUAGUAAUCGUGGAUCAGCAUGCCACGGUGAAUACGUUCCCGGGCCUU